RNAcentral lists this long non-coding RNA (389 nucleotides) under Mytilus galloprovincialis (Mediterranean mussel). The record is from RNAcentral. Lineage: Eukaryota; Metazoa; Mollusca; Bivalvia; Mytilida; Mytilidae.
GCUGGUUGUAUUUUACUUUUUUGAGUUAUUGUUCUUUGAUCAUGUUGAUCUUAUGACAGUAACUUGUAACAUUAAAAGUUGUAAGUUUCAUUAUGUUUUAUUACUAGUAGCACCAAACACCUCUGUGACUUUUAAAAAAGACAUGAUCUUUCUAAAAGAGUUACAGUAUAAGAAGGUUUUGAUAACGGAUCCUUUUUUUUUCCUUUAUUUUUUUAAUAUUCAGUUCUUUAUCUCUAUUUUUACCAUUUUUUUAUCAGCACUCCAUUGUCCUUUAUAAAUUUAUUGUUAAGCCGAUUCAUUCCAUGAUUGACUUUUAUAAAAAUAAAAUAAAAUUGCGAAUGGAAAUGGCGAAUCUGUCUAAGAGACAAUAACCCUACCAAAGAGCAGAA